CGAGGCAAGGUCUGUGGUUGAAAGUCGAUGCCAGACGCGGGCAAAGCGAUCCACAUAAACCGGUAAAAUUGCCGGCGAACAUGGCGCGUUCUAGACGUAAGUCCAACCGGAACAAUCAUCCGAGAGAAGCAGUAGUGGGGACGGCAGAAACCGUUAGGAGCGAACCUUCCAGUUGGCGAGUGUGGGGGCAAAAACCAGGUCAGCUUACCGGG
This 212-nucleotide non-coding RNA is filed under the name unclassified sequences. Its description in RNAcentral is "raiA RNA". It matches the Rfam family "raiA RNA". The record is from Rfam by way of RNAcentral.